Oryza brachyantha (malo sina) is the source of this 1144-nucleotide long non-coding RNA. RefSeq lists it as uncharacterized. The record is from RefSeq and is a predicted model, not a curated record. Lineage: Eukaryota; Viridiplantae; Streptophyta; Magnoliopsida; Poales; Poaceae. The transcript is spliced from 4 exons.
CCCCCCGCUUGAGAAAUGAGAAGAACGAGACUACGGCGCCUGGGCCGACGUUGUAAGGCCCACGAGCCCAUAUCUCAUCUUAGAGAGAAGAGAAGAACGAACUUACGCACACGCCGCACGGUCGUGAGCCGGCCGCUGAGCUCCCCAUCUCACCCUAGAGUUUGGAGGGCGGCGGCGGCGGCCGGUAAACUUGCGGGUGGGGUGAGCCGGUCCCGUGGUGAAAUGCGUCAGCUGCGCGCCCGCGGCGGCGGGGCGGUGGGUGGCGCAUACGGGAGGGACCUGUGCGACAAGGCACGACCAACCUAUGGGCCUCUGCCCUCCGUCCGGUCGUGGGGUGUAGGACUGUAGGAGAUUGAUCGCCUUGACAGCCAUGCACUGCCAGGAUGCUGGCAUUCGUUCCGGCAAUCGGCUUGACCGUGCAAGGCAGCAGCAUCAGUAGCUGCAGGAGCAAGAGAGUGAAAUAUGAGCAAGCAAGUUACGCAUAAAUCCGUGAAUGCUGCAACGGCCAAAACCACCUUCUCCAAUCUGAUUGUUUGCUGCGAAUCUGUUCGUUGCGGCAAAAAUCAUCUCAAGAUCAAACAAUGGAAGGUCAAGCUCGUCUUCAGCACCCGUGCUGUUCUGAUCGAACCAUUGGCCCCAUGCUGGGUUCGAAGCAGUGCUGUUCCUGACCCUGAACGGAGUAUCAUCGGACUCACUGCUUUUCUCCAUUUCAGUAUGCCGCUUCCACCUAGCCUUGUUCGUCCAAAAACAGCAGCAGCCAGCUACUGCUAAAAUGCCACAAAUAAUGGUGACCACGGCGAUCACCACGUUCUUGAUGAGCCGCCGUCGUCUUGCUGACAUCAAAUGGAGAUUUGUCAUUAUCAAGUUUGGUGAUGGUGGAAAUUUGCUCCCGCAAGUAGAGGGUUGCUUCUUACAGACUGAGCUUCGCUCAGUCCAUUUGUUCUGGUACAAAAGAAAUCACUGGCUCUUGCAGUAUAUUAUCCAACGACGACUGAAUGUUACUAGUCCCGUUUAGCGUACUAUAACGGCCAACGGAAACCCAAAGAAUAAUAGCUAGUUUGUGAUCCUUAUUAUUUUACGCUAGAAAAUAUAGUACCUCGUGGUUCCAUCUUAAUAAUGAUAAAAAAAAAACUCUUCAGGUUAA